RNAcentral lists this ribosomal RNA (467 nucleotides) under uncultured bacterium. RNAcentral's name for it is "partial 16S ribosomal RNA". It matches the Rfam family "Bacterial small subunit ribosomal RNA", at positions 28 to 506 of the family's 1533-position model. The record is from RNAcentral.
GACGAACGCUGGCGGCGUGCUUAACACAUGCAAGUCGAACGGAAAGGCCCUGCUUGUGUGGGGUGCUCGAGUGGCGAACGGGUGAGUAACACGUGAGUAACCUGCCCUUGACUUUGGGAUAACUUCAGGAAACUGGGGCUAAUACCGGAUAGGAGCUCCUGCUGCAUGGUGGGGGUUGGAAAGUUUCGGCGGGUGGGGAUGGACUCGCGGCUUAUCAGCUUGUUGGUGGGGUAGUGGCUUACCAAGGCUUUGACGGGUAGCCGGCCUGAGAGGGUGACCGGACACAUUGGCACUGAGACAGGGCAGACACCCAUACGGGAGGGCGGAGGGGGGAAUAUCGCACAAGGGGCGGACGUCAGAUGGCGAAGCGCCGUGUGCGGGAUGACGGCUUUCGGGUUGUACACCGCUUUCGACUGUGAAGACGCGUGAGUGAGGGUAAUGGGUAAAGAAGCACCGGCUAAUUACGU